Oncorhynchus tshawytscha (Chinook salmon) is the source of this 972-nucleotide long non-coding RNA. The record is from Ensembl. Lineage: Eukaryota; Metazoa; Chordata; Actinopteri; Salmoniformes; Salmonidae.
CCUGAUGAGGCCUUCCACAUGUUUUCCUCCUGUGGACUGAAUCCCUAACCACAUAGUUCAUGUCAGUUCUCACUGGACAUGCUUCUUAUUUAUCUGAAGCAUGAGGGAUCAGAUGUGUGUGAAUGUGGACAUCUUCUUCCAUUAAACUCCCCUUAACCUGGACAUCUGCCUCAUCCUUGUUCUGACCGGACAUUCUGUUGUGAUUGCUACCGGUCUUAAGCCAGAACCUAAGAUUUCUUAUUACAUUCAUGAUUCUCUACAACCCUACCCUUAUUUUUCACCGGGAAACACAGCUUGUAAAGAAAAUGGCUCCUGCUGAGAAGAGAAUACUAUACUGUAGGCUACCAAAAUAUUUCAUCAACUUCCAAAUAUUGUUUAACAAAAGAGAGGCUUUUGGAAUGAGCGCAUUUACCAUCACCAGCAAGUGAGCUGUGCGUCAUUUGGUGAGCCAGACUAGGCUAUUGAUUGAUUCAAGACCAGGUCGUUUUUGUCAGUGUCAAAGUAGCCUGCCAUUUUGAUCAUGUGCGGUAUUAAAAAAGAUUUUGCUAAAGUGUAACGUCUGCUUCCAACUCACACCCUCAAACACGUAGAUCCCCUGAACGCAGCUCACUUUCCAGAUCCCAAGCACCUGAAUUCUAAUCACCUGUUCACACACCUGUAUGUCAAUAUCACACACUAUUUAGUUCAGUUCUUUGCACCCCAUCACUGUGAGCUAUUGUUAGUUUUGAGACAAAUGUCUUUCGGAGCACUGGGUUGCCUGUGAUUUACUCCUCCCAUGUAUGAUAGUUUUAGCCUGCUUGUACUUUAGCCUAUUGGAUUUCCUGUUAUCUACCUAUUGCCUGAUCUCCCGAACUAUGUUACUAGCCUUUUCCCUGCCUGUACUGUUGCCCUUUUGGACCCCCUGUGUAUGACCUUCUGCCUGCCCCUGGACCCAACUACCUGCCUCCUCCUGUGGUCCUUUGCAAUAAACAC